UACGGGGGGGGCAAGCGUUGUUCGGAAUUACUGGGCGUAAAGGGCUCGUAGGUGGCCAACUAAGUCAGACGUGAAAUCCCUCGGCUUAACCGGGGAACUGCGUCUGAUACUGGAUGGCUUGAGUGUGGGAGAGGGAUGCGGAAUUCCAGGUGUAGCGGUGAAAUGCGUAGAUAUCGUAAGGAAGACCAGUGGCGAAGGCGGGUCUCUGGACAGUUCCUGACGCUGAGGCACGAAGGCCAGGGGAGCAAACGGG
This 253-nucleotide ribosomal RNA is filed under the name uncultured bacterium. RNAcentral's name for it is "partial 16S ribosomal RNA". It matches the Rfam family "Bacterial small subunit ribosomal RNA", at positions 524 to 776 of the family's 1533-position model. The record is from RNAcentral.